UCGGCAAAAUGACCCCGUAACUUAGGGAUAAGGGGUGCCACCAUCCGGUGGCCGCAGAGAAUAGGCCCAAGCGACUGUUUACCAAAAACAUAGGUUUCUGCUAAGUCGCAAGACGAUGUAUAGGAGCUGACGCCUGCCCGGUGCUGGAAGGUUAAGGGGAGCUGUUAGAGUAAUCGAAGCAGUGAACUUAAGCCCCAGUAAACGGCGGCCGUAACUAUAACGGUCCUAAGGUAGCGAAAUUCCUUGUCGGGUAAGUUCCGACCCGCACGAAAGGCGUAACGAUUUGGGCACUGUCUCA
Molecule: ribosomal RNA, 298 nt
Filed under: Clostridioides difficile
Lineage: Bacteria; Bacillati; Bacillota; Clostridia; Peptostreptococcales; Peptostreptococcaceae
Description: partial 23S ribosomal RNA
Rfam family: Bacterial large subunit ribosomal RNA
Source: RNAcentral